This is a long non-coding RNA of Mustela erminea (ermine), 457 nucleotides long. RefSeq lists it as uncharacterized. Lineage: Eukaryota; Metazoa; Chordata; Mammalia; Carnivora; Mustelidae. The transcript has 4 exons. The record is from RefSeq and is a predicted model, not a curated record.
UUUCGAUAGAAGAGCAGGGGUCCACCUUCAGGAAUUUGGGGCUCUGUUGAAGGUGUUGGUCCCCGCGGUGGGGGCUGAACCGCCCCGGGGCGUGAGGAGACAAAGAACUCCAGAUCCAAGCUGAUUCCUUCCCGAGUUGGAAGUCGGAGCCACCGCUGUCUUGUAGUAGAGGAGACGACUUUACCAUGAACAACUCAUAGAGACCACUGGGAUUUGGAGCAGGAAAGCAAGUAUAUAUCUUACGAGUAUAUAUCCGGUUCCCACUUGGCUAACUGGGAGGUUAGACCCAUGAGCCUGCUUUCAGUUCAAGGGGCUUUAUUUGGAGAGAAGAGAAAGAAGCAUGCUGUGAAACUACUUUCCUCUCAUGACCUUUACCAAGUCCUGGGGAGUGGAGACAUCAGAAGACUUCUCCAGUGAAGAAGUUGCUGUGGCUGAGGUCAAAGAGGUUGCUGCCUGU